UCUCUUUGGAGACUUCUUGCAGACCUACAAACAAGCACACUUUCCAAUGGUGCUAUGAGCUGCCAGUGAUGUAUCACCACUGUAGCUCAUUAUUCUUUACUAAAUGUGAUAAUAAUGUGAUUUGUUAACAUAAAAAAGUUCGACUUCACAAGAGCAGCUGGAAACGGACAACCACAAUAUGCAUAAAUCUAACUCCUACCAUCGGCUACACACUGCUUGACACACAUUGUUAGAAGCACCUCGCAUUUGUGAAUUCUCUUAAGCAAAAUACUUGCAUUAGGUCUCAGCUGGGGCCAUGCAUCAGGCAGUUUGGGAAAUAUUCAACUCUCAGCAGAGGUCAGAAUUUAAAUUCUCUCCUUCUCUAGAAGUCAUUUACCAGGGUCAGCAAGGAUUCAGGCGGCCAGGUG
RNAcentral lists this long non-coding RNA (407 nucleotides) under Octodon degus (degu). Its description in RNAcentral is "Prostate cancer antigen RNA 3 conserved region 2 (ENSODEG00000024186.1)". It matches the Rfam family "Prostate cancer antigen RNA 3 conserved region 2". The record is from RNAcentral. Lineage: Eukaryota; Metazoa; Chordata; Mammalia; Rodentia; Octodontidae.